UUGGGGGCUCCAAGAGAAAAGCCUGUUCUUUGUUACUAAGUCAAAGGAAUAAGCCUAGUCUCAAGAGUGUGUGUGUGCAUGUGCUCAUGAAGGUGUGUGGACCUUCAGAAUUAUGAAAUAAUCCUGUAUUCUUAUUAAUGCUAUAGUUGGCAGGUUGUGCUGGAAACAUAACUAUGCAAUAGUCUACAGGGAUUUUAAUGGAUUCAAGUCACUAAUAUAUCCAUUCAUUGCUUCCUAAAUGUGUAUAAAAAAAAAAUUGCCACAUACGAGUUAGAGUGAUUAAGUUAGGUGGAAAAAUUUAUUUCUUAGAUUAUCAGGUAAAGAUUUGGACUGCUUGUUUGUUUCAUUAGCAGACUGAAUAAAAGAAUAUACACGAAUUAGUUUAUUUUGCUUCAUUGCUUUUGUCAUUCCUUAGUUAUGUGUAUUUAACAGCAGAUACUGUGAUCUGAAGGUUGAGAUAUAGCACAGUUUAAUGAAAUAUAUUGCUUAAGGUUUAUAUGCA
RNAcentral lists this long non-coding RNA (502 nucleotides) under Bos taurus (domestic cattle). RNAcentral's name for it is "long non-coding RNA NONBTAT015181". Lineage: Eukaryota; Metazoa; Chordata; Mammalia; Artiodactyla; Bovidae. The record is from RNAcentral.